RNAcentral lists this ribosomal RNA (407 nucleotides) under uncultured bacterium. Its description in RNAcentral is "partial 16S ribosomal RNA". It matches the Rfam family "Bacterial small subunit ribosomal RNA", at positions 32 to 526 of the family's 1533-position model. The record is from RNAcentral.
AUUUAACGCUAGCGGGAUGCCUUACACAUGCAAGUCGAACGCCGUGGCGAACGGGUGAGUAAUGUAUCGUAACGUGCCCAGUAGCGGGGUAUAACUACCCGAAAGCGUAGCUAAUACCGCCUACUAUUGGAUCGGCCGAUAUCGGCUUAGUUAGUUGGUGGUGUAACGGCCCAACAAGGCGACGAGCCGUAGCUGGUUUGAGAGGACGACCAGCCAAAAUGUGACUGAGAAAAGGCCCAGACGCCGACGGGAGGCAGCAGUGGGGAAGUUUGGACAAUGGGGGAAACCCUGAUCCAGCCAUCCCGCGUGUGAGAUGAAGGCCUUCGGGUUGUAAAGCACUUUUGGCAGGAAAGCGGUACCUGCAGAAUAAGCACCGGCUAACUACGUGCCAGCAGCCGCGGUAAUUC